AGAGUUUGAUCAUGGCUCAGGAUGAACGCUGGCGGCGUGCUUAACACAUGCAAGUCGAACGGAACUCUUUGGAUCAAGGCUUCGGCCGAGUGAAUCUGAGUUUAGUGGCGGACGGGUGAGUAACGCGUGAGGAACCUGCCUUCCAGAGGGGAAUAACAGUUGGAAACGACUGCUAAUACCGCAUAAUGCAUAGAGGCCGCAUGACCUUUAUGCCAAAGAUUUUAUCGCUGGAAGAUGGCCCCGCGUCUGAUUAGCUAGUUGGCGGGGUAACGGCCCACCAAGGCGACGAUCAGUAGCCGGACUGAGAGGUUGGCCGGCCACAUUGGGACUGAGAUACGGCCCAGACUCCUACGGGAGGCAGCAGUGGGGAAUAUUGGGCAAUGGGCGCAAGCCUGACCCAGCAACGCCGCGUGAAGGAAGAAGGUCUUCGGAUUGUAAACUUCUUUUAACAGGGACGAUAAUGACGGUACCUGUUGAAUAAGCUCCGGCUAACUACGUGCCAGCAGCCGCGGUAAUACGUAGGGAGCUAGCGUUAUCCGGAUUUACUGGGUGUAAAGGGCGUGUAGGCGGGGCUGCAAGUCAGAUGUGAAAACUCCGGGCUCAACCCGGAGCCUGCAUUUGAAACUGUAGCUCUUGAGUGAUGGAGAGGCAAGCGGAAUUCCUAGUGUAGCGGUGAAAUGCGUAGAUAUUAGGAGGAACACCAGUGGCGAAGGCGGCUUGCUGGACAUUAACUGACGCUAAGGCGCGAAAGCGUGGGGAGCAAACAGGAUUAGAUACCCUGGUAGUCCACGCCGUACCCG
Molecule: ribosomal RNA, 800 nt
Filed under: uncultured bacterium
Lineage: Bacteria
Description: bacterial SSU rRNA
Rfam family: Bacterial small subunit ribosomal RNA
Source: RNAcentral